RNAcentral lists this ribosomal RNA (468 nucleotides) under uncultured bacterium. RNAcentral describes it as "partial 16S ribosomal RNA". It matches the Rfam family "Bacterial small subunit ribosomal RNA", at positions 28 to 507 of the family's 1533-position model. The record is from RNAcentral.
GACGAACGCUGGCGGCGGGCUUAACACAUGCAAGUCGAACGGAAAGGCCCUGCUUUUGUGUGGUGUUCGAGUGGCGAACGGGUGAGUAACACGUGAGUAACCUGCCCUUGACUUUGGGAUAACUUCAGGAAACUGGGGCUAAUACCGGCUAGGAGCUCCUGCUGCAUGGUGGGGGUUGGAAAGUUUCGGCGGAUGGGGAUGGACUCGCGGCUUAUCAGCUUGUUGGUUGGGGAGUGGCUUACCAAGGCUUUGGCGGGUAGCCGGCCUGAGAGGGUGACCGGCCACAUUGGGACUGAGAUACGGCCCAGACUCCUACGGGAGGCAGCAGUGGGGAAUAUUGCACAAUGGGCGGAAGUCUGAUGCAGCAACGCCGCGUGCGGGAUGACGGCCUUCGGGUUGUAAACCGCAUUAGCCUGUGACGAAGCGUGAGUGACGGUAAUGGGUAAAGAAGCACCGGCCAACUACGUG